Molecule: small nuclear RNA, 109 nt
Filed under: Myotis brandtii (Brandt's bat)
Lineage: Eukaryota; Metazoa; Chordata; Mammalia; Chiroptera; Vespertilionidae
Source: RNAcentral
AUGCUCACUUCGGCAGCACAUAUACUAAAAAAUUGGAACGAUACAGAGAAGAUUAGCAUGGCCCCUGUGCAAGGAUGACAUGCAAAUUCGUGAAGCGUUCCAUAUAAAA